UGGGGAAUUUUGCGCAAUGGGGGAAACCCUGACGCAGCAACGCCGCGUGAGUGAUGAAGGCCUUCGGGUCGUAAAGCUCUGUCAGAGGGGAAGAGAUGCAGGGGUGCUAAUAUCAUCUUUGCUUGACGGUACCCUCAAAGGAAGCACCGGCUAACUCCGUGCCAGCACCCGCGGUAAUACGGAGGGUGCGAGCGUUGUUCGGAAUUAUUGGGCGUAAAGCGCGUGUAGGCGGUUAGAUAAGUCUGAUGUGAAAGCCCCGGGCUCAACCUGGGAAGUGCAUUGGAAACUGUCAGACUUGAAUACGGGAGAGGGUAGUGGAAUUCCUAGUGUAGGAGUGAAAUCCGUAGAUAUUAGGAGGAACACCGGUGGCGAAGGCGGCUACCUGGACCGAUAUUGACGCUGAGACGCGAAAGCGUGGGGAGCAAACAG
This 429-nucleotide ribosomal RNA is filed under the name uncultured bacterium. RNAcentral describes it as "bacterial SSU rRNA". It matches the Rfam family "Bacterial small subunit ribosomal RNA", at positions 355 to 775 of the family's 1533-position model. The record is from RNAcentral.